GCACUGUUGGUCCAGCGGUAGGAUAUUUGCCUUCCAUCUAGAACUCUUCUAGGGCUAGCAAAUGGCUCGGGUUCGACUCCCGGACAGUGCA
This is a non-coding RNA of Lophiostoma macrostomum CBS 122681, 91 nucleotides long. The record is from the annotation of a GenBank genome assembly. Lineage: Eukaryota; Fungi; Ascomycota; Dothideomycetes; Pleosporales; Lophiostomataceae.